This 641-nucleotide ribosomal RNA is filed under the name Priestia megaterium. RNAcentral describes it as "bacterial SSU rRNA". It matches the Rfam family "Bacterial small subunit ribosomal RNA", at positions 57 to 679 of the family's 1533-position model. Lineage: Bacteria; Bacillati; Bacillota; Bacilli; Caryophanales; Bacillaceae. The record is from RNAcentral.
GCAAGUCGAGCGAACUGAUUAGAAGCUUGCUUCUAUGACGUUAGCGGCGGACGGGUGAGUAACACGUGGGCAACCUGCCUGUAAGACUGGGAUAACUUCGGGAAACCGAAGCUAAUACCGGAUAGGAUCUUCUCCUUCAUGGGAGAUGAUUGAAAGAUGGUUUCGGCUAUCACUUACAGAUGGGCCCGCGGUGCAUUAGCUAGUUGGUGAGGUAACGGCUCACCAAGGCAACGAUGCAUAGCCGACCUGAGAGGGUGAUCGGCCACACUGGGACUGAGACACGGCCCAGACUCCUACGGGAGGCAGCAGUAGGGAAUCUUCCGCAAUGGACGAAAGUCUGACGGAGCAACGCCGCGUGAGUGAUGAAGGCUUUCGGGUCGUAAAACUCUGUUGUUAGGGAAGAACAAGUACGAGAGUAACUGCUCGUACCUUGACGGUACCUAACCAGAAAGCCACGGCUAACUACGUGCCAGCAGCCGCGGUAAUACGUAGGUGGCAAGCGUUAUCCGGAAUUAUUGGGCGUAAAGCGCGCGCAGGCGGUUUCUUAAGUCUGAUGUGAAAGCCCACGGCUCAACCGUGGAGGGUCAUUGGAAACUGGGGAACUUGAGUGCAGAAGAGAAAAGCGGAAUUCCACGUGUAGC